CAACCAUCAAGCCCCCGGCUUGUGUUGGGGCCCUGCGGCUGCCGCAGGCCCCUAAAUCCAGUGGCGGGCUCGUCGUCGUACCGAGUGCAGUAAACAUCCUCGCUCGGGGACCCCGACGGGUGCUGGCCGUGAAACCACCCCUUCUCAA
RNAcentral lists this unclassified non-coding RNA (148 nucleotides) under uncultured Schizothecium. RNAcentral describes it as "partial internal transcribed spacer 2". The record is from RNAcentral. Lineage: Eukaryota; Fungi; Ascomycota; Sordariomycetes; Sordariales; Lasiosphaeriaceae.